AUGAACGCUGGCGGCGUGCCUAAUACAUGCAAGUCGAGCGAAUGGAUUAAGAGCUUGCUCUUAUGAAGUUAGCGGCGGACGGGUGAGUAACACGUGGGUAACCUACCCAUAAGACUGGGAUAACUCCGGGAAACCGGGGCUAAUACCGGAUAAUAUUUUGAACUGCAUAGUUCGAAAUUGAAAGGCGGCUUCGGCUGUCACUUAUGGAUGGACCCGCGUCGCAUUAGCUAGUUGGUGAGGUAACGGCUCACCAAGGCGACGAUGCGUAGCCGACCUGAGRGGGUGAUCGGCCACACUGGGACUGAGACACGGCCCAGACUCCUACGGGAGGCAGCAGUAGGGAAUCUUCCGCAAUGGACGAAAGUCUGACGGAGCAACGCCGCGUGAGUGAUGAAGGCUUUCGGGUCGUAAAACUCUGUUGUUAGGGAAGAACAAGUGCUAGUUGAAUAAGCUGGCACCUUGACGGUACCUAACCAGAAAGCCACGGCUAACUACGU
RNAcentral lists this ribosomal RNA (497 nucleotides) under Bacillus mycoides. Its description in RNAcentral is "bacterial SSU rRNA". It matches the Rfam family "Bacterial small subunit ribosomal RNA", at positions 29 to 506 of the family's 1533-position model. The record is from RNAcentral. Lineage: Bacteria; Bacillati; Bacillota; Bacilli; Caryophanales; Bacillaceae.